Long non-coding RNA from Pseudophryne corroboree (corroboree frog), 258 nucleotides. RefSeq lists it as uncharacterized. The transcript has 3 exons. Lineage: Eukaryota; Metazoa; Chordata; Amphibia; Anura; Myobatrachidae. The record is from RefSeq and is a predicted model, not a curated record.
AGAAAGGAAUACCAACACAUCAUGAAAAGACGCAUGAAAAGCCGGGUCCCAGAGAUGACCACCCCAUAUUCUGUAAAAAGAAUCCAAAACCGAGCCCAACUACCAAACCACCUAGUACACCACUGGGAACCACUGUGCAGCACAGAACUACAAUGAGCAGUGAUGAACCGAAAAGAGGAGACAAUUAAUUAUUUCAUACUGUGUCAUUAAAUGAGCACCAUGGUUAUAGCUGAUGUUUGGUGACCUCUUAACAUGUUU